GGGUUGUGAGGUUAAGCGACUAAGCGUACACGGUGGAUGCCCUGGCAGUCAGAGGCGAUGAAGGGCGUGCUAAUCUGCGAUAAGCGCCGGUAAGGUGAUAUGAACCGUUAUAACCGGCGAUACCCGAAUGGGGAAACCCAGUGUGACUCGUCACACUAUCAUUAACUGAAUCCAUAGGUUAAUGAGGCGAACCGGGGGAACUGAAACAUCUAAGUACCCCGAGGAAAAGAAAUCAACCGAGAUUCCCCCAGUAGCGGCGAGCGAACGGGGAGGAGCCCAGAGCCUGAAUCAGCAUGUGUGUUAGUGGAAGCGUCUGGAAAGGCGCGCGAUACAGGGUGACAGCCCCGUACACAAAAGCGCAUGUGCUGUGAGCUCGAUGAGUAGGGCGGGACACGUGGUAUCCUGUCUGAAUAUGGGGGGACCAUCCUCCAAGGCUAAAUACUCCUGACUGACCGAUAGUGAACCAGUACCGUGAGGGAAAGGCGAAAAGAACCCCGGCGAGGGGAGUGAAAAAGAACCUGAAACCGUGUACGUACAAGCAGUGGGAGCCCCACCACCAAAGCAUUCUCUGGUGUUGAAGGCCCUGCAAAGCAGCAUCGCGGUGGCGGAGCGUCGUUUGCGACGCCCAACACACAAAACAAGCGGUGAGUGCUUUGGGGUGGGGUGACUGCGUAC
This 675-nucleotide ribosomal RNA is filed under the name Salmonella enterica subsp. enterica serovar Kentucky. Its description in RNAcentral is "partial 23S ribosomal RNA". It matches the Rfam family "Bacterial large subunit ribosomal RNA", at positions 1 to 604 of the family's 2925-position model. The record is from RNAcentral. Lineage: Bacteria; Pseudomonadati; Pseudomonadota; Gammaproteobacteria; Enterobacterales; Enterobacteriaceae.